Pan paniscus (pygmy chimpanzee) is the source of this 5344-nucleotide long non-coding RNA. Lineage: Eukaryota; Metazoa; Chordata; Mammalia; Primates; Hominidae. The record is from Ensembl.
GGAUAUUUCAACUCCUGUGGACCUUAAAACCUAUUUUAACUAGGUUGUCACUUACCAUAUGGUACCUUCUAGUUUUCUUUCCAUUUGUAACAUCUUUCCUUAAUCCAGGAAAAAGUAAAUCUUCUGGUGAGAAUCAGAAAGGUUUGGCUGGAGGAACAGAGACUAGAAGCCAGUAACCCUGGAAUGGCUGUGGCAGAGGGAGGAAUAAGGGACUGAGUUCUAGAACCAGGUGUCAGCUAAAGAUAAGAAAUUGCCUGUGAGAAAACACCUUCCCCUAGACCAGAGCAGAGUGAAUAGUCCCUUACUGGCAACCUGGGGCAUAGGGUUACAGACAUAUAGGGAGAAGCAAAAGAGCAGUGAGAAGCUCAAGAAUAGACUUCUAUGGGCACUGGAGGUGAGCAGCAGCUGAGCAAAUGGCCCCAGGUGGUGUCGGGACCAUCCUGAUGGUGACAUGAGAAAGUACUGGCUUCUUCCAGGUCCUCCCUAUGCACAUUCUGCCAAGGUAGGGAGGUCUGAGAAUGGUAGACUAUCCACAGUGCACAGGUGGAGUCUGUGGAAGGAGCAGAGGGGAGAUUUUUUAAGCUAUUGGAAGAUUUUGGGAACUGAGUAUGGGUGUUUCCAUGAGGACAAAGGAUUCUUCAGGAAACAAGAGAUAAUCAACAACAGAUGACAUCACAGUGAUCUGGGAAUGAGACACCACACGGGACAGAAAGAAACAUUGCAAGAAUAUUCUCCUUGUUUUAAUCCAGAGAAAGAACUUUUUGAGGAGCUGAGCAAUAUCCGGAGAGAGAGAGAGAGAGAUUCCUAUAGAAUACAAGACAAGACUAUCACAAUGUGAUAAGAAGGAGAUUACUGCUGCCCACGGGGAAAAAGGAGAACAGAAAUGGGAAAGCCGUAUUGAGAGGAUGUUUGAGGACUGUGAAAGACAGAAAGCAGACCAGAUUGCCAUGCCUAAACCACUUUCUUUGAAGUUUAAGGAAGCACCACUGCAUUUAUGCCAGAAGGUGAAAGUCCAGAACAGGUUGCAAUACGAAGUGGAGUUAAAGCAACUAGAAGGAAGUGUCAGUAACCAAGCUAAGAGAGGCUGGAAGGAAAACAAUUCAUGCAGCAGAAAAGAAAGCCUUUUGAGCAUUGUGAUGUCAGAAGGUGACUUGGAAGAUGAUCUAAAUGUUAAACUGGCAGUGAAGAGUGCCACAUCAUUGUUAUUCCCCCAAGAUCCUGGAUUCCAGACAGCCCAGUGGAGCACCAUAGAAAGAACUUUCAGGAAGCAGAGAAUGGUUCAGGGAUUCUGAUUUUCCUGAACUUCCUCCUCCCUAUCCACCUCCAAUUAGGAAAAAAGAAGAAAAAAAAGAUUAAACGCGUCCAGAAUGUUAAAAAUCCAGUAGGGAUUUUAAAUGUUCACUAUUACAGCACAUACAUUUAUACACAAGGAGGUCUGAAGGCUUUCUGAUUUCAAUUAAGAUUAUUAUCUCCUUUGAGUGAUGGUUUCUCCUUUUUCCCCCAAAAUUCCCUUUGGCUGAUCUAUUUUAAAAGAGUAUGAGCUAGGGAUAACUAGGCUUAUUUGUAUUGAGUCUACUUUCCCCUCCAGGUCUCUUUGUCUUAAAUUCUGAAGUCCCUUUUCCUAUCCUGCUAAAGGUUAGCAGCUUGAAAUCAAGGACAUGAGUCAUUGUUACUUUUCAUGUGGAAGAUAAGCUCUGUGGCUUUUAUAGCAAAAAGUAUAUACAAUUCUAAAAUUAAAGUGCAAGUCAGAAAGGCCAUUGGGGCUGUGAAAAGUCCUUAUCUAAAUCAGAAGACCAAGGUCAAGUUUGUAUCAUGCCUAUUAGUAGAUGGGUUUCAUUGGUUAAGUUACCAAACCUCUGAGCCUCAGUUUCCUUAUCAAUCAAUCAAAUGAGUGCAAUAAUUCCCGCCCUAUCAUCUGACAAACUAUUGAGAAAUUCUAAUUACAUGCCUAUAAUUUUCAGGUCUUUGUUUUUCAGGUCUUUGUUAAGCAUCAUGCACAUAAACGUUUGUAUUACACUUUCUUUAGCAGUAUUUGAACAUGGUACCUUAUUCAAUGUUCUGAAACAAAUCAUGAAUACUUCCUGGUGUGGUGAUAAUAUCUUCAUAAACUUGUGACACCCGAUGGAAUGUGAGUCGGUUUUGUAAUAGCCUUUAAAAACUUCCCUCAAUACAUAAUAAAGAAUGGUAAAAAAUUUUGGUUGAGGAAACUAAUGAUACAUCCAAAAUAACACAUUCAGUUUUCCAGUGAAGAAUAUUCUCAAAGUAAAAUGAUGUUUAGACUUACUUAAGGGUUCUUAAAACAAGUUAUACAAAGGGAUAGUAUUGAAAUCCAUCUUUGAAUAGAUAUAUACUAGUAAUUAUUUAUGUCGAAGACCCAGGAAAAUACUAUUAAUAGGUGUGAAAUUUAAAUCACACUAAUUAGUACUUUAAAAUAUUAUUCCUUCACAUUAUUUUAAAGAAGCUUUUCCUACAUGUGUGACCUGUUCUGUCAAACACAGCCAUGAAUAUCUAGUAUACUAAAUUGGUCCUAUUCUGACUCCAAUUUUCAAACACUUUUAACAUAGGACUAUAGAGUUCAUAUUUAGAAAGUGUGUGCAUGCCUAUGUGUAUCACUAAUAUGUAGUAUAUGCAUACUAAAUAUGCACAUGGGUAUUUCAAACUCUGUUGGCUUGACUCCAAAUGUUCAGCUAUCGAUGUUAUUCAUGGUAUUUAGAGGUUUUAUUUAUUUAUUUAUUUUUCUUGACUUUCCCACUGGGAGGUGUCUUCUGAUAUUUCAGCCUCUAGCAUCUCAGUCCCAUACAUUCAGCCCUCACUGGGAAGUUUAAUUCCAGGUUACUAAUUUCAGAGCAUCCCAAAGAUGCUGUUUAGCCAGGUAGUGCCUUAAUAUAUCUUAGAAUUAAAAGAAAAUACUUUCUGUCUCUCAGGGCAUUUGAAAGCUCAAACUCUCCUCUUUGAACUUCCCUCUCUCAUUAUAUUGCCAUCACAAAUCUUUGUCCAUCACUAGGUGGUACAACUCCCCCUCCCCUCACCUGCCUCACACACAUAUGACCUACAGUGGAAAACUGAGCUCCAGAUGGUUCAUGGACUUGCCCAAAGUCACCUGUACCAUUGCUGACUUGGAACUUGAAUGUCCAAACCUUCUAAAUCCUCAUCUGCAUUUUUCACAUUAGAGAAUUUUGAUCUCUGACUUCCAACAGUUAUUUCAGGAGAGGAAAAUGCAUGGCUUCACUAUCCAAUGGACUAAAAAAUUGAGUAAGGGAUAGAACAUAUUUUACACACCAACUUGAAAACUUGUCGUAAUGAUGCUCUUCCAGCAUGAAGAAAUUAAAAUUGGCCUUCCUAUUCGUUCUCCUGAAUUGUUCACUGUAACUGAGUGGAGAUAUUUUAGGAGGGUUCUCACUGUGGCUUCUGAAGACCUUUUCAGAAUAAGAUCUUUUUUUCAAAAACACCACACAAAAUACAAUACAAAAAUACAAUACAAAAAUUUUCAAAAAUACAGUAUUAGUUUGAAGCUUGGUAAGUUUUGACUAUUGCCUAUACCUAUGUAACUGCUACCUAAAACAAGAUAUAGAAAUGUUCUAACUUCCCAGAGAGAUUCUUCAUGCCCCUUUCAUUCAGUGUCAUCCCAGACCCCACAAAGGCAAUUCCUUCUGAUGGUAUGUAUGUAUUCUUUAGUGUCUGAUAUUUUUUAGAUUUAUUUAUAUUGUCAUAUGUAUCAGGCCAUUCAUUUUUGUUGUUGAUGAAUAUUUCAUUGUGUGAAUAUGCUGCAAUUUGUUGAUUCAAAUACCUCCUGAUAGUUGUUUUCCGUUUGGGGCUGUUAAGAAUAAGGCUUCCAUAAACUUUCUUGCCUAAGUCUUGCAUGCAUUGAUGUUUUUAUUUCUCUUGUGUACAUAGCUGGGAUUCAAAUUGUUGGCUUAUAGGUUGUAUCUAUGCUUAGUUUAUUUUUUAAAUUGCCAGAGUUUUUGAAGCCUGCCUCUACAAGCAGUGUGUGAGAAGUUUAGCUACUUCAUUACCUCCAAACCAUUUGGUAUUAUCAGUCUUUUUAUUUAUCUCAAUUGGAAAAUAUUAAAUGGCUUUAUAUUAUGGCUUAAACUUGCAUUUACCUAAUAACUGAGUGCCUUAUCUUGAGCUUCUUGUCUAUUCAUGCAUUUUUUUGGUGAUUAUGUGUUUAAGUCUUUUGCCCAUUUAAAAUUGGAUUUUUUUUGUUAUGGCUUUAUAGGAAUACAUCAUGUAUUCUAAAUAUAAUUUAUUUAUCCAAUAUUAUAUAUUGAAAAACUUUUCUUCUUGUCUGUAAUUUGCCAGUUUAUUUUGUUAAUGGUGCUUUUUAAUGAGUGUAUCUUUUUAAUUUUGAUGAAGUCUUAUCCUAUUUGUCUUUUAUGAUUAGUGAUUUUUAUUUGUCUAUUUUUGUCUGACCCAAGAUUAAAAAGGUACUUCCUGUAUUUUCUUCUAGAAGUUUCAUGGUUCCAACUUUCCCAUUUCAGACUCUGUAACAUCUCAAGUUAACUUUUGUGCCUGGAAUGAGUUACAGGUCAAUAAUUAUAUUGUUUAUUUGAGAAUCUAACACCAUUGUUUGAAAAUAAUAUCCUUACCUCAUUCAUUUGACUUGGCACCUGAAUAAGUCAUCUUUAAUACUGGGAAAUGGUAUUGCUGGUCUUUCAUGCAUUUUCUGAGACAUGUAGAUGACUUCAUGGAUACUUAAAAUAUUAUGGGUCUAUCACUGUGCCUUUGCACAUAAACUUUUUUCUGCCCAAGAUGCCAUUCUUCUUAUUGUUUUGUGUUUACUACCCAAAACACAGCUUAGUAGUCUCAGACACCUUCGUUAAUUUUUCCCAUAUGGUGCAACUAAAUGCCUCUGUUGGGCACAGUGAAUUGCUCUAUCAAAAUAUUUGUCUUAUGACUUGCUAAUUUUCUCUUUACUUGACUUUCUCCCCAAGCAGACAGUGAUUUACUUGAAAACAGGUCUGCUUUUUUAUCUCUGUAUCUUUAUUACUCAGCACUGUGACAGGAAAAAAAAAGAUAGCCACUCAAUUUAUGAUUUUUAAUCAAAUUUGAUGGUCCUGAUAUUCCACAGGAGCAAUGUAAGAUAGUAAAAGAAAUCCAUAUACUUUGGAAGGAUAUAAUUUUUAUUUCAAAUAUUGGUUCCGCUACUCACUAGCUGUUUGAAUUGAGGCAAGUUAUUUAAUUUCAAAAUCUUAGUGUAUUAAUCUAUAAUAUGAAGAUGUGUAGAACUUCAUUUGGAAUAUUUACAAUAAAUAAAAGAAAUAGUGUCCAGUACAUACAGUGUAUAGUAGCUGCUAAAUAAAUGGAGUGAGUGUAUUAUUAUUUUAGCAUUAAAAGGGCAAAU